GAGAACCUGAUCUUGUUCUUGCCCAAAUUCAAAGCCACCAAGAGGGGUGAAGUCAUGGGGUGGGAGGAAGAAAGCCCCCACUUCUUCUCUCGUGAGGAGCAGGAGGGUGCUGGGCUGAGCACAGAUUAUCAGGAAGAGAAAAAUAACCCUGUGGUCAGACUCCCUUGCUGCUGGCUGCCCACGGAUGCUGGGGGCAGCCACCCCGGGGCAGGGGUCGCUGAGGACGCCGUGAUGGAUGGCCCUUCUCUUUGUCUACACAGCGCUCAUCAGCGUCAUGAGUGCCAGGCAGUGCCGAGCACCAGGGAAGCCAGGAAACAGAGAUCCAUCCUCGCCCUCGCAAGGUUUGCCUUCUGCAGGGGUGUUGGACGCUGGGAGGAGGUGGCUACUUUGGAGGCUGGCAGACAAGACUGGGAUCCUGCUUCUGAUUCUUCAGAGUUCAGAAAACAUCCUGAGUUUUCCCUGAGGGAGCAAUAAUUCUUCACUGUUUCUUUCAUGGAAUCUCCUGGAUGCCUUUGUCAUCUCUCUGAGGAUGUUCUUGCUGCAGAAACUGAAGAAAAGCCUUAUCUCAGAGAGAUUCAUCACUGUUGUGUGUAUCUAAUAGCUUGAUCUAGUGAGCAAGACUUUAACCACUGAACAAGUCGUGUUCUUCAACAUCUCCACUGCGCCAUCCGUGGACACUGGCUUGAUCCCACCCUUCUGACUUCAAGCCAAGCUGUAGCACACACUCUUGUGUCUGCUUCCAUACACAUGUGUACAAGAGGAUUUUUGGGGUUUUGCUCAGAUGGGGCAGCCCCGCCAUCACAACGCUCACCACCGCGGUCAGCACAGCGUCAGCUCCAGCAUAGCCAUGGCACACACAGCCCCACCCCCAUCGCCAGACCACCGCCGACUCUGUGACCACAGUCCCCAGGGCGAGUAUGGUCGCUACAGUCACAACCACUGACUCUGAUGAUCACCGUCACCGCCUCCACCCCCGAGACCCACCUCCCCCCACCACUGCCAUCACACCGUCAUGCCGGUGACCGCCGGUGCCGUCACGAUCACCACCGUCGCCCCCAUCCUCAUUUACAUCACCACCAUGAUCACCGUGACUACUCCCACCCCGGAGACCCACCUCCCCCCACCACUGCCAUCACACCAUCAUGCUGGUGACCGCCGGUGCCGUCAGGAUCACCACCAUCGCCCCCAUCCUCAUUUACAUCACCACCAUGAUCACCGUGACUACUCCCACCCCGGAGACCCACCUCCCCCCACCACUGCCAUCACACCGUCAUGCCGGUGACCGCCGGUGCCGUCACGAUCACCACCAUUGCCCCCAUCCUCAUUUACAUCACCACCAUGAUCACCGUGACUACUGCCACCCCCGAGACCCACCUCCCCCCACCAUUGCCCUCACACCGUCAUGCUGGUGACCGCCGGUGCCGUCACGAUCACCACCGUCGCCCCCAUCCUCAUUUACAUCACCACCAUGAUCACCGUGACUGCUCCCACCCCGGAGACCCACCUCCCCCCACCACUGCCAUCACACCAUCAUGCCGGUGACCGCCGGUGCUGUCAGGAUCACCACCAUCGCCCCCAUCCUCAUUUACAUCACCACCAUGAUCACCGUGACUGCUCCCACCCCCGAGACCCACCUCCCCCCACCACUGCCAUCACACCAUCAUGCCGGUGACCGCCGGUGCCGUCAGGAUCACCACCAUCGCCCCCAUCCUCAUUUACAUCACCACCAUGAUCACCGUGACUACUCCCACCCCCGAGACCCACCUCCUCCCACCACUGCCAUCACACCGUCAUGCCGGUGACCGCCGGUGCCGUCACGAUCACCACCGUCGCCCCCAUCCUCAUUUACAUCACCACCAUGAUCACCGUGACUACUCCCACCCCGGAGACCCACCUCCCCCCACCACUGCCAUCACACCAUCAUGCCGGUGACCGCCGGUGCUGUCAGGAUCACCACCAUCGCCCCCAUCCUCAUUUACAUCACCACCAUGAUCACCGUGACUACUCCCACCCCCGAGACCCACCUCCCCCCACCACUGCCAUCACACCGUCAUGCUGGUGACCGCCGGUGCCGUCAGGAUCACCACCAUUGCCCCCAUCCUCAUUUACAUCACCACCAUGAUCACCGUGACUACUGCCACCCCCGAGACCCACCUCCCCCCACCAUUGCCCUCACACCGUCAUGCUGGUGACCGCCGGUGCCGUCACGAUCACCACCGUCGCCCCCAUCCUCAUUUACAUCACCACCAUGAUCACCGUGACUACUCCCACCCCGGAGACCCACCUCCCCCCACCACUGCCAUCACACCGUCAUGCCGGUGACCGCCGGUGCCGUCACGAUCACCACCGUCGCCCCUGUCCUCAUUUACAUCACCACCAUGAUCACCGUGACUGCUCCCACCCCCGAGACCCACCUCCCCCCACCACUGCCAUCACACCGUCAUGCCGGUGACCGCCGGUGCCGUCACGAUCACCACCGUCGCCCCCAUCCUCAUUUACAUCACCACCAUGAUCACCGUGACUGCUCCCACCCCGGAGACCCACCUCCCCCCACCACUGCCAUCACACCGUCAUGCCGGUGACCGCCGGUGCCGUCACGAUCACCACCGUCGCCCCCAUCCUCAUUUACAUCACCACCAUGAUCACCGUGACUACUGCCACCCCCGAGACCCACCUCCCCCCACCACUGCCAUCACACCGUCAUGCCGGUGACCGCCGGUGCCGUCACGAUCACCACCGUCGCCCCCAUCCUCAUUUACAUCACCACCAUGAUCACCGUGACUACUCCCACCCCCGAGACCCACCUCCCCCCACCAUUGCCCUCACACCGUCAUGCCGGUGACUGCCGGUGCCGUCACGAUCACCACCGUCGCCCCCAUCCACAUUUACAUCACCACCACUACCAUUUCACACCACACACCGUCGUCACCAACACUGCCAGUGCCAACACCUCCAUCACCACCCACACCCUCACCCCACAUAUGGGCAAGACUUCGCUGCAGAGGUCUCCAAGUCACGUUUGGGAAACCCUCAGACUCUGAUGAACCCCUGAGGGGUGGACUGAAAGUGGAGACAUAAGCCACUAAGCAGACACGGGUCCAGGCUCACCGUCUUCCACUCAAGCUUCAGUCUGGGAUACCCCCGUUAUCUGCUUUUCUUACUGGAGUUCCUCAUCAAAUGCCACCAAGGUUCUCAGAUCUUAAAACCCAUUUAAGCCAUGGCAUGCAUAGUGCUUUAUCCCACUAAGGAAUUUUUUCCAAGAAGUGUUUAGGAAAAUGCAAAUGAAAAUGCCCAAGGCGGGCACACACGCAAAGGAGAAACACUGUGUGUUUUUAUCCCAGAGAAUGGGGUCGCCAUGGGUGGUGCUGAGGAGAGAGGCCUGGAUCCCACACUCGUGGGCUUGUAUCAUGGAAGACAGCUGGAAGGAAGUAGAG
Molecule: long non-coding RNA, 3434 nt
Organism: Dama dama (fallow deer)
Lineage: Eukaryota; Metazoa; Chordata; Mammalia; Artiodactyla; Cervidae
Exons: 5
Source: RefSeq, a predicted model, not a curated record